Molecule: long non-coding RNA, 5602 nt
Organism: Fukomys damarensis (Damara mole-rat)
Lineage: Eukaryota; Metazoa; Chordata; Mammalia; Rodentia; Bathyergidae
Source: Ensembl
AUGGAAUGGAAUGUGACUCUCCAGAGCCACACACUCUUCGAGAUAAUGGACUUAUUUGAUAUUCUGCAUGAUACACAUCUCUGCAUUGGACAUGGUAGACGUACUCGCAUGGAGAAAGAAUUGCAAGCUAAAUACAAGAACAUCACAAAAGAAGUUAUCAUGCUAUAUCUGACACUCUGUAAACCAUGCCAGCAGAAAAACUCAGAACUCAAGAAAGUUCUAACAUCAAAGUCAAUUAAGGAAAUUAACUCCAGGUGCCAGGUAGAUCUCAUAGACAUGCAAUUGAAUCCUGAUGGGGAAUAUAAAUUUAUUAUGCAUUAUCAACGCCUUCAUAUGAAGUUAAGUUUUUUGAGGUCACUAAAAUCUAAGAGGCCUCAGGAAGUUACACAUGCUCUUUUAUAUAUUUUUGCCAUUAUUGGAGCACCCAGUUUCUUACAAUGCAAUAACGGGAGAGAAUUUUCAAGCCAGAUCAUCAGAGAAAUCAGUAAUAUUUGGUCAGAAUUAAAGUUGGUCCAUGGGAAGCCUCAGGUUUGCCAAAGUGAAAGUUCUACAGAAGAAAUUGAGGAAAUCCAAAAGAGGAUCUUCUCCUGGAUGCAAGUGAACAAUUCACCACAGUGGGCUGAAUUUUUGUGGCUCAUUCAGAUAAUCCAAAACCAGCCCUAUCACAGAGGCAUGCAGCAGACUGCAUGUGAAGAUGUAGGUAGAUCUGAAGCUAAGCUAGACCUGUCUCAGUUAACUGCAGAGCUUGUUAGCAGACUGCACAGAAAAAAUGAAUUAGACCAGGUCAAUAAAGAGUUAGAAAAUACUCUCAGAGCCCAGCAUGAAGAAAAUAUUGACAUUGGAACAGAUAGUAGUGACACUGAGGAAAAUCUUUCUGUUAUCACUAAUGUGGCUAAAAAUCCCCCUCCUGAAAGCAGGCUAAGAUUUUUAUCCUGUGUAAUUUGUGAAAAAGAAUCCAUAGGGACAGGUAAUUGUGUAUCAUAUCUUGGAAAUGUCCAUGCACUCCAUGGGGUAUCUUCUCACGAGGAGGCUGUAGAGUGUGGUCAACAAAUAAAUGGUAGUCUUUGUCAUGAGACCAGUACAAUGAAAAGGAAACAGAUUCAGAGAGGGUUGCAUGUUCAACCUUCCAAAAUGCUAAAGCCAUCAGAGUUAGCCAUUUUCACCAGACACAGGAGACUAGAUAAGAGUUUGAGUAUCUUAUGUAAUGAAAGCAGGGGAAAAACUUUAUUGCUCUUUGCCGUGCUCUUGAUGGAUAAGAACUUUGGUCUCCUUCAAUGUAUUUUCCCUAAUGAAGGGCAUGACUUCACCUUUUCAUCAGAUUUGAAGUUAUAACUUUGAAUGCUAUGUUGUUUAUUGUUUUGGGGUGAUGAACAGUAUCUCUUUUUACACAUUUCUUGGAACAAGAAAUCUAAUAUCAAGAAGAUACUAUAUACGAUAGCUUUCUACAGAAAAAUGAAUUUGUUUCAAUUUUAUGUGAGUUUGGGUGAAGAGUAAAGGACAUUUCAAAUCAAGUAAAGAUACUUAAGAGAGGUGAGGGAUGAUAAAGUUCAUCAGAAGACAAGUCAUUUGUCUUUUGUUUUUUGGUACAGGGAUUGAACUCAGGACCUUGUGCUUGCAAGACAGGCUAUCACUGAGCUAAAUCCCAGGCCCCAGAAGACAAGUUUGUAUAGGCAGAGUUCAGUUGUGAGAUUAGAAUGGAGAACAUGAGAUAAGGCCUACACAAUUUUAAAUCAGUCUUUCUGAGGUAGAGCUGAUGUUUUGAAAUAGUUACCCUUGAUUAAGGCUAGUGGUAUUCAAAGUAUGAUCUGAAGACUAUUGAUGUUAUGGCUUGCAAAUUAUUUUUACCUGUCCAUGAGAGGAAUAUAAAAACUGAAAUUAUAGAAAUAUAUAAUAAUACAAGAAAAAUAAACAUAACAACUUGGCAUUGCUACAGCAUCCAAGCACAUGAUUAAUGGAUUCAUCUUACUGAAUAUUGACCACUUUAGGUGUUGCUAACUGCUCAAGGUGAAUCUCUUGUAUUGGGAGUUGCACUAGUAAACAUAAUUAAGAUUACACUGUAAUGUUUGCUGUUUUACAUUUAAUUCAUCAUCUGUAACUUAAAAGUACAGUGGUAUUUGGUUCAUGAACUUAAUUCAUUGCACCAUUCUGGAAAAAAUGGCCAUGUUCAUGUUCAUGGGAAAGAUGACUGUGGUUGUAUCUGUCACCUGAUACAGAGUUCACAAGCAAAAACAAAAUUCUGUUUGUGAACCAAAUUGGUACCACUAUAUUUCAAACUCAAAAAUGUAAGCAUUUAUUUAUUUUUAUAACAGUUUAAAAUCACUUUUUGUUUUUAAUCAAGUCUAGUUUUGAAUUUAUUGUUUUAACAUUAAGAUAGGGAAUUAAAUUUUCUAUUACUAAUUGAAUCCUAAUUUGCAGAUGGCGAAAAAAGCUUCACUGGACUUUCUUGACAAGAAAAUACCUUCUUGGAAUAGAGCAGUAGUAAUAAAAAAAAAAGUGGUAGCAGUAGAAAUCAUUCUGGAGAAAGAAAAGUGAAAAGAGUUCAUACAAGUUUUACUAGGAAAUACGAUUCUUCUUAUAUUGAGUUCGGUUUUGUAGCUGUAAUUGAUGGUGAAGUGGUGAAACCACAGUGUAUUAUUUGUGGAAAUGUAUUGGCUAAUGAAGCAAUGAAACCAUCAAAAGUUAAGCAGCAUUUAUAUUAAAAACAUAAAGAAAUAAGUUCACAGGCCGGGUGUGGUGGCGCAUGCCUGUAAUCUCAGCACUCAGGAGGAUGAGGCAGGAGGAUCGCUGUGAGUUUGAGACCAGCCUGGGCUACAUAGUGAGUUCCAGGUCAAUUUCAACUAUACAGUGAGACCCUGUCUCAAACCCCCCCCCAAAAAAGAAAUAAGUUCACAACCAAAAGAAUUCUUUGAGAGAGUAGUGAAUUAAAAAAUCAACUGAAGCAGCUAUUCAAUAUUUCUCAUGUAAAUAUUAGUGCUCUAGGCUGGGGAUUUAGCUCAGUGGUUCCAGCACCUGCCUCACAAGCGCACGGACCUGAGUUCAAUCCCUGGUACCAAAAAUAAAACAAACAAAUAUUAGGGCUCUGAGGGCUUCAUAUAAAGUAGCACUUCCAGUCGCCAAGUCCAAAACACCAUACACAAUUGCUGAGACACUCGUGAAAGACUGCAUCAAAGAAGUUGGCUUGGAAGUGUUGGGUGAAUCUACAACAAAGAAAGUAGCGUAAGUACCUCUUUCCAAUGACACCAUAGCUCACCUGAUUCAAGAGCUGGCUAAUAGCAUGGAAGAGCAACUCAUAGAGCAGAUAAAGUUGGCAAAAUACUUCUCAUUGCAAUUUGAUGAGUGCAGAGAUGUUGCUAACAAUUCUUUUAGUCUAUGUAAGGUUUGAACAUGAUGAUGACAUAAAGGAAGAAUUUUUUUUCAGCCUCUUUGCGUACAAACAACUAGCUCAGAACUGUAUGAAGCUGUGAAGAAUUACAUUGUUCACAGAUGUGGCUUGGAAUUUAAAUUUUUUGUAGGAGUGUGUUCUGAUGGUACAGCUUCAAUGACAGGAAAACAUUCCAAAGUGGUCACCCAGAUUAAGGAACUUGCUCUGGAAUGUAAAAUAACACAGUGCUUCAUCUAUUAUGAUGGUCUUGCUAUGAAAAAAAUAUCCGCUGAACUAUAUAGUGUGCUUAUUGACAUGGUAAAAAUUGUGAAUUAUAUAAAAUCUAAUGCAGUAAAUUCAAGAUUGUUCUCUUUAUUAUGUAGUAAUAUGGAAACUGAUCAUAAGCACCUGAUACUGCAUGCUGAGGUACGGUGGUUGUCUUGGGGGAAGAGUUCUGUCAAGAGUGUUUGAAAUACGAAAUGAUCUCUUACUCUUUGCCAGGCAAGAAACCUGUUUGGGCUCAACUUUUUAAAGAUGUGAAUUGGAUAUCCAGGCUUGCUUAUUUGUUUGAUAUCUUUAGUACUUUUAAUGAUCUUAAUACUUCUGUGCAAGGAAAAAAAUGCAACAUGUUUUUCAGUGGCAGAUAAGAUUGAAAGACAAAAAUGAAAGUUAGAAAGUUGGAAAUACAGAGUUUCUAAAAAUUAUUAUGACAUGUUCCACAAAUUAACAACAAUCAUUAGUGAAGUUCAUGAUCUUGAUAAUGCACAUCUGCAGAAAGUUAUCAGUGAACAUCUACAAAUUUGUUAGUGUCUUGAAUUUUAUUUUCCAUCAAAAGAAGAUCCACGUAUAGGAAAUUCAUGGAUCCAAAACUCAUUUCUCCCAUCAAAGGAUAAUUUGAAAUUAACUGUAGCCUUACAUGAUAAGUUGUUGGAACUAGCUUCUGAUGAGGAAAAUAAAAUAUAAAAAUACAGUAUCCCUUGCUUCAUUUUGGAUAAAAGUUAAAAAUGAGUACCCUGAACUUGCUGAGAUUGCUUUAAAAUCUCUGCUUUUAUUCCCUUCAAUAUGCCUGUGUGAGGCAGGAUUCUCUACUUUUAAGUGUUAUUAAAACAAAACACAGAAACAGAUUAAAUAUACACUAUCCUCUUAGAGUGGCAUUGUUAUCGAUCCAACCUAGAUUAGACUAAGGAGCAAGAAGCAAGCUCACUUAUCACAUUAAAAAUUUUAUGUAAUGACAUGGAAAGUGGUCAUGCAACAUAUGCAUUUAGGCAUUUGGUGUGAGAAAUUUCACUUUAGGCUUUCUGUUUAAUUGCUAUUGUGGAAUUAUGAAGUUAUGAGUAAAAUAGUUCUCUACAUAAAUUGCCUAUUUGUAAACAUUUAGUGAAGCAUUUGUACAAUUUUUAAAUUAUAUUUUCCUGUUAUAUUUAUUGAAAUAUACCUUUUUUUGUUUGCCCUAAUAUUAAAAACUUCAUUUUGUCUUUUGUAUUUCUUUACUAUUGUAUACUUUAGCAGGUUGAGACUAUAGGACAGCUUUCAUGAUGAAAGGGCACAUGAGUGAGUUCAGGGAGUAAAGAUUAGAAUUCAGAUACAGUUCAGGGUGUCAGCAGGAUGCUACAUUUGUUCAACUGAUCAGGGUGGUUAAAUUGGAAGUUGGAGUUUGUUUUGUAGAUACCUUGUUACACUGUGUAAACAGGUGAGGUAUAAUUGUAUUGAAGCUCUGGGCUCAUACUGAAAAAUUCUGUUUUUUAAGGAUGGGAGACUGCCAUGGCAAUAAGCUUAGUCAGAAGGGUUUUAGACUCGGCUGUAUUACUGCUGAAGUACUUAGGACACAGUUAUUAUGAGCGUGUCAAGGAGAUUUGACAUCCUCUAUUGUUUGAAGAUAAUGUCACACAUCUACUCUGUCAAUAUAGUGGCUUAGAAUGACUGAAAACAGAUGGCAUGUGGCAGGGUCUUUAGGGUAAAUGAUAACCAAGAUCCUUGAAGAAAAUAAUAGUCUUCCUAAGGAGGGCAAUUUACAGUAAGUUCUUAUUUUCAUAUAAAUGUAACAUUCAAACUUGAAGAAAGGAAAGAUACAAAAGAUGUCACUAAAGAUUUAUCCUUUUGCUUUGAAAGUGGAGGAAACAUUCGGUCUUGAAACCUUGGUUGGAUUGCAUUCUUUGUGUUUUAAUAAAAGCUUAAAACUAGAAAAAAAUUUAACUGAUAAUGGUGACUAGAUUUAGAAAGUGGUUUAAUUCCUGCAGCCCA